AGAGCGAACGCUGGCGGCAUGCCUAACACAUGCAAGUCGAACGAGGCGCUUGCGCCUAGUGGCGAACGGGUGAGUAACACGUGAGCAACCUGCCCUUGGCUCUGGGAUAGCCUCCGGAAACGGGGAUUAAUACCGGACAUGACCUUCUCCUGCAUGGGGGAGGGUGGAAAGUUUUUCGGCCAGGGAGGGGCUCGCGGCCUAUCAGCUUGUUGGGGGGUAACGGCCCACCAAGGCGACGACGGGUA
RNAcentral lists this ribosomal RNA (245 nucleotides) under uncultured bacterium. RNAcentral's name for it is "partial small subunit ribosomal RNA". It matches the Rfam family "Bacterial small subunit ribosomal RNA", at positions 26 to 285 of the family's 1533-position model. The record is from RNAcentral.